GAUGAACGCUGGCGGCGUGCUUAACACAUGCAAGUCGAACGAUGAAGCCCAGCUUGCUGGGUAGAUUAGUGGCGAACGGGUGAGUAACACGUGAGUAACCUGCCCUUAACUCUGGGAUAAGCCUGGGAAACUGGGUCUAAUACCGGAUAGGAGCGCCUACCGCAUGGUGGGUGUUGGAAAGAUUUAUCGGUUUUGGAUGGACUCGCGGCCUAUCAGCUUGUUGGUGAGGUAAUGGCUCACCAAGGCGACGACGGGUAGCCGGCCUGAGAGGGUGACCGGCCACACUGGGACUGAGACACGGCCCAGACUCCUACGGGAGGCAGCAGUGGGGAAUAUUGCACAAUGGGCGAAAGCCUGAUGCAGCGACGCCGCGUGAGGGAUGACGGCCUUCGGGUUGUAAACCUCUUUCAGUAGGGAAGAAGCGAAAGUGACGGUACCUGCAGAAGAAGCACCGGCUAACUACGUG
RNAcentral lists this ribosomal RNA (466 nucleotides) under uncultured bacterium. RNAcentral's name for it is "partial 16S ribosomal RNA". It matches the Rfam family "Bacterial small subunit ribosomal RNA", at positions 28 to 507 of the family's 1533-position model. The record is from RNAcentral.